Long non-coding RNA from Vollenhovia emeryi, 180 nucleotides. RefSeq lists it as uncharacterized. The transcript is spliced from 2 exons. The record is from RefSeq and is a predicted model, not a curated record. NCBI's taxonomy places the organism in Eukaryota, Metazoa, Arthropoda, Insecta, Hymenoptera, Formicidae.
UCAGGGUGCGAUUACAUGCGGCGUAACUUGCGUAAGCGUAACUGCGGCGUAACUUGUGCUGACCAAUCACAUCGUCUCAUUUGAGUCGGAACUAGCGGAUGAUUGUGCAGGCUGGUGUAGUCAGGUGUAGUUAUUACACACAGGACGGGAACACGGGAACGCAACACAAACGAGAAAAAU